UCCAGUGCCCAAACACCCUCUGAGUGAAGAACCUUUUUCUAAUACCCAACCUAAACCUGCCCUGACUCAGGUUCAGGCCAUGCCCUCAGGUCGUGUCAUUGGUCACCAGAGAGGAGACAUCAGUUCCUGUCACUGCACAUCCCCUUUGGGUGAGGAAGCUGUAGAUUGCUAUGAGGCCUAUCCUCAGUCUCCUCUUCUGUGGGCUGGGUAAAUCAAGAUUACCAAAGUGGAGCCAUGACUCAGAGGGUUUUCCUGCUCCAACCUGCCCAUCAUCAGCUCUUCCCUGCAAUCUCAGAAAUGAAGAAAGGCAGAGUGGCCAUUCACAAGGUGUUUGCCCAAGAACAACAGCUCUCAGCCUGUUCUGUAAACCAGAUUUUAGUCAUCAAAGGGAAGAAAAGAAGGAAUAAAAGUCCACCCAAGCAAACAAAACAAAGCAAACAUAAAGCAUAAACACAAACACACAAACAAAACCCUUCAAGACAUUAAAAUUUGCUCAAAAAGAAUACAAUUUUUAAAAAUAAAAAUUAAUUGAGAAAUUGAUAGAA
Molecule: long non-coding RNA, 545 nt
Organism: Vidua macroura (Pin-tailed whydah)
Lineage: Eukaryota; Metazoa; Chordata; Aves; Passeriformes; Viduidae
Exons: 2
Source: RefSeq, a predicted model, not a curated record